This 1186-nucleotide ribosomal RNA is filed under the name Bovista pusilla. RNAcentral describes it as "partial large subunit ribosomal RNA". It matches the Rfam family "Eukaryotic large subunit ribosomal RNA", at positions 52 to 1443 of the family's 3401-position model. The record is from RNAcentral. Lineage: Eukaryota; Fungi; Basidiomycota; Agaricomycetes; Agaricales; Lycoperdaceae.
AGGGGGCUAGAACUACAGGAUCCCUAGUAACUGCGAGUGAAGCGGGAAAAGCUCAAAUUUAAAAUCUGGCGGUCUCUGGCCGUCCGAGUUGUAAUCUAGAGAAGUGAUGCCCGCGCUGGACCGUGUACAAGUCUCCUGGAAUGGAGCGUCAUAGAGGGUGAGAAUCCCGUCUCUGACACGGACUACCAGGGCUUUGUGGUACGCUCUCAAAGAGUCGAGUUGUUUGGGAAUGCAGCUCUAAAUGGGUGGUAAAUUCCAUCUAAAGCUAAAUAUUGGCGAGAGACCGAUAGCGAACAAGUACCGUGAGGGAAAGAUGAAAAGAACUUUGGAAAGAGAGUUAAACAGUACGUGAAAUUGCUGAAAGGGAAACGCUUGAAGUCAGUCGCGUUGGCCAGGAAUCAGCCUCACUUUUGUGUGGUGUACUUUCUGGUUGACGGGUCAGCAUCAAUUUUGACCGCUGGAAAAAGACUUGGGGAAUGUGGCAGCUCCGGCUGUGUUAUAGCCCUUUGUCACAUACAGCGAUUGGGAUUGAGGAACUCAGCACGCCGCAAGGCCGGGUUUCGACCACGUUCGUGCUUAGGAUGCUGGCAUAAUGGCUUUAAGCGACCCGUCUUGAAACACGGACCAAGGAGUCUAACAUGCCUGCGAGUGUUUGGGUGGAAAACCCGGGCGCGUAAUGAAAGUGAAAGUUGAGAUCCCUGUCGUGGGGAGCAUCGACGCCCGGACCUGAACUUUUGUGACGGAUCCGCGGUAGAGCAUGUAUGUUGGGACCCGAAAGAUGGUGAACUAUGCCUGAAUAGGGUGAAGCCAGAGGAAACUCUGGUGGAGGCUCGUAGCGAUUCUGACGUGCAAAUCGAUCGUCAAAUUUGGGUAUAGGGGCGAAGACUAAUCGACCAUCUAGUAGCUGUUCUGCGAUUCCCCUAGCAAAAAUAAAACACAGCCUACUAGAAUGGGUUCGGAUAUAAGUUCUUUCGCCCUAUACCCACAUUGACGAUCGAUUUGUACGUCAGAUCGCUACGAGCCUCAUCAGAGUUCUCUGGCUGCCCUAUUCAGCAUAGUACAAUCUUCGGUCAAAUACAUGCUUACCGGAUGCACAAAUUAGGUCGGGGUAAUCUCAGAGGUAUUACACAUUCAGCCUCGAUACCCCGUCGAGACGUUGAAAACUGGGUUCAUGAGAGAUCAGUCA